CCUACGGGGGGCUGCAGUGGGGAAUAUUGGACAAUGGGCGAAAGCCUGAUCCAGCCAUGCCGCGUGGGUGAAGAAGGCCUUCGGGUUGUAAAGCACUUUCAGUGGGGAAGAAAGCCUUGGGGCUAAUACCCUCGAGGAAGGACAUCACCCACAGAAGAAGCACCGGCUAACUCCGUGCCAGCAGCCGCGGUAAUACGGAGGGUGCGAGCGUUAAUCGGAAUUACUGGGCGUAAAGCGCGCGUAGGCGGUCUGAUAAGCCGGUUGUGAAAGCCCCGGGCUCAACCUGGGAACGGCAUCCGGAACUGUCAGGCUAGAGUGCAGGAGAGGAAGGUAGAAUUCCCGGUGUAGCGGUGAAAUGCGUAGAGAUCGGGAGGAAUACCAGUGGCGAAGGCGGCCUUCUGGACUGACACUGACGCUGAGGUGCGAAAGCGUGGGUAGCAAACAGGAUUAGAUACCCUUGUAGUC
This 465-nucleotide ribosomal RNA is filed under the name Vreelandella stevensii. Its description in RNAcentral is "partial 16S ribosomal RNA". It matches the Rfam family "Bacterial small subunit ribosomal RNA", at positions 338 to 795 of the family's 1533-position model. The record is from RNAcentral. Lineage: Bacteria; Pseudomonadati; Pseudomonadota; Gammaproteobacteria; Oceanospirillales; Halomonadaceae.